GACGAACGCUGGCGGCGUGCUUAACACAUGCAAGUCGAACGGAAAGGCCCUGCUUUUGUGGGGUGCUCGAGUGGCGAACGGGUGAGUAACACGUGAGUAACCUGCCCUUGACUUUGGGAUAACUUCAGUAAACUGGGGCUAAUACCGGAUAGGAGCUCCUGCUGCAUGGUGGGGGUUGGAAAGUUUCGGCGGUUGGGGAUGGACUCGCGGCUUAUCAGCUUGUUGGUGGGGUAGUGGCUUACCAAGGCUUUGACGGGUAGCCGGCCUGAGAGGGUGACCGGCCACAUUGGGACUGAGAUACGGCCCAGACUCCUACGGGAGGCAGCAGUGGGGAAUAUUGCACAAUGGGCGGAAGACUGAUGCAGCAACGACGCGUGCGGGAUGACGGACUUCGGGUUGUAAACCGCUUUCGCCUGUGACGAAGCGUGAGUGACGGUAAUGGGUAAAGAAGCACCGGCUAACUACGUG
This 468-nucleotide ribosomal RNA is filed under the name uncultured bacterium. RNAcentral's name for it is "partial 16S ribosomal RNA". It matches the Rfam family "Bacterial small subunit ribosomal RNA", at positions 28 to 507 of the family's 1533-position model. The record is from RNAcentral.